RNAcentral lists this ribosomal RNA (468 nucleotides) under uncultured bacterium. Its description in RNAcentral is "partial 16S ribosomal RNA". It matches the Rfam family "Bacterial small subunit ribosomal RNA", at positions 28 to 507 of the family's 1533-position model. The record is from RNAcentral.
GACGAACGCUGGCGGCGUGCUUAACACAUGCAAGUCGAACGGAAAGGCCCUGCUUUUGUGGGGUGCUCGAGUGGCGAACGGGUGAGUAACACGUGAGUAACCUGCCCUUGACUUUGGGAUAACUUCAGGAAACUGGGGCUAAUACCGGAUAGGAGCUCCUGCUGCAUGGUGGGGGUUGGAAAGUUUCGGCGGUUGGGGAUGGACUCGAGGCUUAUCGGCUUGUUGGUGGGGUAGUGGCUUACCAAGGCUUUGACGGGUAGCCGGCCUGAGAGGGUGACCGGCCACAUUAGGACUGAGAUACGCCCCAGACUCCUACGGUAGGCAGCGGUGGGGAAUAUUACAGAACGGGCGGAAGCCAGAUGCGACGACGCCGCGUGCGGGAAGACGGCCUUCGGGUUGUAAACCACUUUCGCCUGUGACGAAGCGUGAGUGACGGUAAUGGGUAAAGAAGCACCGGCUAACUACGUG